CCUACGGGGGGCUGCAGUGAGGAAUAUUGGUCAAUGGACGAGAGUCUGAACCAGCCAAGUAGCGUGAAGGAUGACUGCCCUAUGGGUUGUAAACUUCUUUUAUAUGGGAAUAAAACGUUCCACGUGUGGGAUUUUGUAUGUACCAUAUGAAUAAGGAUCGGCUAACUCCGUGCCAGCAGCCGCGGUAAUACGGAGGAUCCGAGCGUUAUCCGGAUUUAUUGGGUUUAAAGGGAGCGUAGGUGGAUUGUUAAGUCAGUUGUGAAAGUUUGCGGCUCAACCGUAACAUUGCAGUUGAAACUGGCAGUCUUGAGUACAGUAGAGGUGGGCGGAAUUCGUGGUGUAGCGGUGAAAUGCUUAGAUAUCACGAAGAACUCCGAUUGCGAAGGCAGUUCACUGGACUGCAACUGACACUGAGGCUCGAAAGUGUGGGUAUCAAACAGGAUUAGAUACCCUAGUAGUC
Molecule: ribosomal RNA, 460 nt
Filed under: uncultured bacterium
Lineage: Bacteria
Description: partial 16S ribosomal RNA
Rfam family: Bacterial small subunit ribosomal RNA
Source: RNAcentral